AUACGGAGGGUGCAAGCGUUAAUCGGAAUUACUGGGCGUAAAGCGCGCGUAGGCGGUUUGGUAAGUCGGAUGUGAAAGCCCCGGGCUCAACCUGGGAAUUGCAUUCGAUACUGCCCGACUAGAGUAUGGUAGAGGGAAGUGGAAUUCCGGGUGUAGCGGUGAAAUGCGUAGAUAUCCGGAGGAACACCAGUGGCGAAGGCGACUUCCUGGACCAAUACUGACGCUGAGGUGCGAAAGCGUGGGGAGCAAACAGGAUUAGAAACCCCGGUAGUCC
RNAcentral lists this ribosomal RNA (274 nucleotides) under uncultured bacterium. RNAcentral describes it as "partial 16S ribosomal RNA". It matches the Rfam family "Bacterial small subunit ribosomal RNA", at positions 523 to 796 of the family's 1533-position model. The record is from RNAcentral.